RNAcentral lists this long non-coding RNA (535 nucleotides) under Octopus vulgaris (common octopus). The record is from RNAcentral. Lineage: Eukaryota; Metazoa; Mollusca; Cephalopoda; Octopoda; Octopodidae.
GCUGGACAAAAUGCUUAGGAGCAUUUCUUCCAGUUCUUCAUGUUCUGAUUUUAAAUGCUGCUUAGGUCGACUUUGUGUUACAUCCUUUCAGAGUCAAUAAAAUAUGUACCAGUUCAGUGCUGUAGGCCAACACAAUCAACCCAAUCCUUUUGCCUCAAAAUUACUGGCCUUAUGUCAAAGCUGAAAAAUAUUAAUAUAUCAGUAGCUCUGAGCCAAUAUAGCAUAUCCAUCAUCAUCAUAAUUUAGCAUCCAUUUUCCAUGCAGGCAUGGGUUAGAUGGUUUGACUGAAACUGGCAAGCCAGAGAGCUGUACCAGGCUUCAGUCUGAUCUGGCAGAGUUUCUACAGCUGGAUGCCCUUCCUAACACCAACCACGCAAAGAGUGUAGUGGGUGCCUUUCACAUGUCAAGUCACCACCACAGGUGCCUUUUACAAGUCACUGUCAUGGGUGCCUUCUACGAGUCACCAUUGUAGGUGCCUUUUACGAGUAACCAUUUUAGGUGCCUUUUACACGUCACCAUUGUAGGUGCCUUUUAC